AUGGCGGCGGCGGCGGCGGCUGGGGCUGCAGGGGUCGGGCCGCUCCCGCGGCAGCAGCGGCCGGCCGCCCCCGGGCUCUGGGGGCGCGCCCUCGGGGUCGCAGGGGGUGCUGAUCGGGGACAGGCUGUACUCCGGGGUGCUCAUCACCUUGGAGAACUGCCUCCUGCCUGACGACAAGCUCCGUUUCACGCCGUCCAUGUCGAGUGGCCUCGACACCGACACAGAGACCGACCUCCGCGUGGUGGGCUGCGAGCUCAUCCAGGCGGCCGGCAUCCUGCUCCGCCUGCCGCAGGUGGCCAUGGCUACCGGGCAGGUGUUGUUCCAGCGGUUCUUUUAUACCAAGUCCUUCGUGAAGCACUCCAUGGAGCAUGUGUCAAUGGCCUGUGUCCACCUGGCUUCCAAGAUAGAAGAGGCUCCGAGACGCAUACGGGACGUCAUCAAUGUGUUUCACCGCCUUCGACAGCUGAGAGAGAAAAAGAAGCCCGUGCCUCUACUAUUGGAUCAAGAUUAUGUUAAUUUAAAGAACCAAAUAAUAAAGGCGGAAAGACGAGUUCUCAAAGAGUUGGGUUUCUGCGUCCAUGUGAAGCAUCCUCAUAAGAUAAUCGUUAUGUACCUUCAGGUGUUAGAGUGUGAGCGUAACCAACACCUGGUCCAGACCUCAUGGGUAGCCUCUGAGGGUAAGUGACUAAGACUUCUCCUCUGCUGUCCAAGCGCUUUGGUGCAGGGACAGCGGCGUCUUCAGCCAAUCCAGUGCAGGCUCUCCACCGAAGGCUGGCUCUAGACUGGUGGUACGCACAUAGCAUAGCCAUGGCCGACUCCUGCUGUGGUUCUCUGACGAUUGUGCUUCUUGUUAAUCCUCUGUCGUGCUUUGGUAAUUGUAUUGAUUAGAGUUGAUAACUGUCUUGACUUGAAUUUUGUCCCUUUAAAACUGCUGUACCUGUAUGAUAAAGAUGCAGUACCUUUCUCUUAAAAAAAAAAUGGUAUGGAAAGCUGUGAGAAUUGAAAAGACAAAUUGGCUGAUGUCAGUGUGGGGUUAUGUCAUGAUUUCUAGAAGCCCUGAGGUUGCUCUUUUCAGCAGCUUUGGGUGACACGCUCUGGUCAAAGGUGUGCAUCUUUAAAUUAUUUCAUGGAUACUUUAAAAAAUAUUGUAUCGUUUCAAAUACAGCAAUAAGUUUCUAUGUUCUCAA
This is a non-coding RNA of Macaca mulatta (Rhesus monkey), 1187 nucleotides long. NCBI's taxonomy places the organism in Eukaryota, Metazoa, Chordata, Mammalia, Primates, Cercopithecidae. The record is from RefSeq and is a predicted model, not a curated record.